Molecule: long non-coding RNA, 1886 nt
Organism: Micropterus dolomieu (smallmouth bass)
Lineage: Eukaryota; Metazoa; Chordata; Actinopteri; Centrarchiformes; Centrarchidae
Exons: 3
Source: RefSeq, a predicted model, not a curated record
UCACAGAUGAAGCCCUGCUGAGACAAGUCAUCAAAACAACCAGCGAGGAAAUUGAAAGGAGAUGUCGUCUGGGUCGCAACACCUGCACCAAAGUCAUCUAUGCACAAAGUGGUCAGGAAUCAUCUCUGGAGACCAGCCCUGGAUACUCAGUCCAAGAACUCACACUCACAUCUCUCGUAGAAUCGUGUGUGGACCUUCACCCUCCAAGCCAGUCAGCCAGCCACUCUCAGGAACGUCUCCCACCUCUGGACCCCGACUCUUACCUGCCAGCAACCCCCCUCGCACAAUUACACUUUGUCAAAUAAAAAGUUGAAAUCACCAUCACUUGUCCGGUCUGCUUCUGGGGCUCCCUCUGAAUCCUGACAGUACGAUCCGGCUAUGACAGACCCAGCGGAUUUGGACAAGGUACGUCAAGCCAUAACUCAUCAAGAGUCCGUUUUAGGACAACAUGGUCAGUCCCUCCGUGAAAUCACGACUGGAUUACGGACCCUCGCCUCCAGUGUGACCGCCAUCCGAGCCCAACUCAGUUCGCAAGCCAGCGCCGCUCCCGUACCCGUGCCUUCUGCUGCCACCGCUCCUCCCUCAGUCUCCGCCUCCGAUCGGGAGCCCUGGAUUACCGCACCUGAGAGGUAUGACGGUAAUCUUGGCCAAUGUUGUGCUUUUUUUCAUGCAAUGUGGACUUGUCUUUGAUCAGCAGCCUCACACCUAUACGUACGAGAGAUCUAAGAUUGCUUACCUAAUCGGUCUCCUCCGAGGUGACGUGUUGGUAUGGGCUUCCACUGCAUGGGAGAAGCACUCGCCGGCCACCACCACAUACGUCAUGUUCACGGAGGAGAUGCGCAAGCUGUUUGACCACCCUGUAAGAGGUAAAGACGCAUCAAAGAGGCUGUCUACUCUGCGACAGGGGGGUCGCAGCGUGGCCGAGUAUGCCAUUGAGUUCCGCACUUUGGAGAGUGGAGAGUGGGUGGAAUGAUGAGUCACUAACUGCUGUUUUUGCUAAUGGUUUGUCUGACCUGUUGAAGGAUGAGCUUAUCUCUUACCCAGAGUCCCAGUUUGGAUGAGUUAAUCUCCCUCGCUAUCCGCAUUGACAACCGCUGCCUGGAACGCUGGAGGGAGAAACGCCAGGCUGGAGGUUACGAGCACUUCCGUGUUCCCCGCAUCUCUGGUUCGGCGGGCCCCGCCCCCUCUCACCCUGCUCCAGUUCCUCAGACUUUCUCCAGGAGGGAGAGCUCCCCGGGUGCCGAGCCGAUGCAGCUGGGCCGUACUCGUUUGGAUGAGGAGGAACGUCUGAGACGCAGGACAACUAACAGCUGUCUCUACUGCGGCCAGCCCGGUCACUACAUCGCCACCCGCCCUCAACUGCAGUCAAACAGGCAGGCUCACUAGUAGGAGGAAGCAUCCUAGCGAGCAAGCUUCCUGUCUGCGGGCUCCGUUCCACCUUUCUUUCCACCAUAAAGGUCAGUCCAGCUUUGAUCGAUUCAGGAGCGGACGAAAGUUUUUUGGAUUCUCUGGUAGUUAAACAGCUGGGCCUCCCCACGGUGCCUCUGGAGGCUCCCUUAGAAGCUAACACCCUAGACGGCAGACUCCUGGCCCGAGUGACUACUAAGACUGGUCCAGUCCGGCUCCAGCUCUCAGGAUUCCCAGCUGCCCAGGGCCCAGUGAAACACAGGCAGCAUGACCUGUGCCUGCCACCAGGUCACCACCAGGACCCCAACAGCAACCUGAACACCCAUCUACUCAGCAGCCAGCUCCACUGUCUUGGAGCUGAAGAUGGACAAAGACCCAGCCAUCGCUCUCCAUCUCCAGGUUUCAACCAGCUCGGACACAGGGCUAUGCUCAUAACAUGCAAAUUAUGUAAAUAGUGGGGCUUUUCUGUGUUUUUUCAA